UGGCUCUCGCAUCGAUGAAGAACGCAGCGAAAUGCGAUAAGUAAUGUGAAUUGCAGAAUUCAGUGAAUCAUCGAAUCUUUGAACGCACCUUGCGCCCUGUGGCUUUCCACGGGGCACGCCCGUUCGAGUGUCACGUUAACCCUCGCCAGCCGGACAGUAAUGUUUGGGGAAGCGGAUUUGGAUGUUGCCGGUCGAGAGAUCGGCUCGUCUCGAAAUGCAUUAGCGGAGUGAGACGCAAGCGCGACGUUGAUAAUUGUCUACGCCUCGUGAGUGUCAAGCCUUGCUCAUAAUCGCCGCAAGGCAAUUUUUCACAGUUUGACCUCGAAUCGGGUGGGACUACCCGCUGA
RNAcentral lists this unclassified non-coding RNA (347 nucleotides) under uncultured fungus. Its description in RNAcentral is "partial contains 5.8S ribosomal RNA and internal transcribed spacer 2". The stretch from base 1 to 133 matches the Rfam family "5.8S ribosomal RNA", at positions 22 to 154 of the family's 154-position model. Lineage: Eukaryota; Fungi. The record is from RNAcentral.